GGUUUAACGCGAAGGAACCUUACCAAAUCUUGACAUCCUUUGACAACUCUAGAGAUAGAGCUUUCCCCUUCGGGGGACAAAGUGACAGGUGGUGCAUGGUUGUCGUCAGCUCGUGUCGUGAGAUGUUGGGUUAAGUCCCGCAACGAGCGCAACCCUUAUCUUUAGUUGCCAUCAUUAGGUUGGGCACUCUAGAGAGACUGCCGGUGACAAACCGGAGGAAGGUGGGGAUGACGUCAAAUCAUCAUGCCCCUUAUGAUUUGGGCUACACACGUGCUACAAUGGAUGGUACAAAGGGCAGCAAAACCGCGAGGUCAAGCAAAUCCCAUAAAACCAUUCUCAGUUCGGAUUGUAGUCUGCAACUCGACUACAUGAAGCUGGAAUCGCUAGUAAUCGUAGAUCAGCAUGCUAUCUUUC
This 414-nucleotide ribosomal RNA is filed under the name uncultured Macrococcus sp. RNAcentral's name for it is "bacterial SSU rRNA". It matches the Rfam family "Bacterial small subunit ribosomal RNA", at positions 943 to 1363 of the family's 1533-position model. The record is from RNAcentral. Lineage: Bacteria; Bacillati; Bacillota; Bacilli; Caryophanales; Staphylococcaceae.